UCUCUCCCUCUCUGUUCCCUUCCCUGCGCACCCCAACCCCAUCUUCCCCACAUGCCCUAACUCUCAAUCGUCGGGAGGAACCCCAAACUGGUUCGAUCGCUGGAGCUCUCGCCAUUGCAAUCACCUAUUCAACAGGCCGUGCCGGAGGAAACAUCCAGCUCGCUGUCCCAUCCACCGAGCGACAAAAAGUUUCCACCUAUUCCCUUCUUCUUCCUUCCCCAUUUAUAUAAACCCUCUCCCUUUCAUUCUCUUCCCCUCACGUCAUUCCAGUACUCAUAACGAUGUAUAAACAACACACUUUUCACCCAUCGAACAAGUAGUGCUGCCUCAGCCCCUUAGCUUGUUUGAUUGAUUCAAAGGCCAGAAUGAAAGUAAACAAAAAGUUGGUGGUUUUGAAAGCAUUGGUUAAAGGGAGAUUAAAAUUUCCCCUUAUGCUCUCUGUGGUAUAUUGUUUCCUUUUUUAUCUUUCUUAUAUUUUUUGUUCUUUCAUUUUUUUCCUCUGCUAUCUUUGUCGGUGGGCUUCUUGUGCUUUUGGAUGAGGAAUAAUGGGGAGGAAGAAGAAGGGGCUUAAUGCAUUUGGUCUUUUGCGAUGUGGGUUGGGCCGUUGGGGACUGCUCGGUGCUUCUUGGGUACAAACAAGUUUGAAGAUGGAAGAUCAAAGUUAUAUACAAAAGAUAGGAGAAAUAUGAAGGUCUGGGAAUUACAUUUACAUGGGUAAUGCUUCAAUACCAAACAUUGUGGAGAAGUUGGAGAUGUAAAUUAAGAAAAGUAUGCAAGCAAUAUAAAACAUUGGACAAUUGUAUGAGACAUUGCAAGGUGAUGAUCCCAGAUGAUCAAUGGAGGUGCUUGAUCUGACAGUUUGAAAGUAGGCAAUGAAAGGCUCGGAUCAAUGAAGUGAUGUCUAAAUUGCCUGAAGGAACUAGAGGUGAACCAUCUCAAAAUGAUGUUCCUCACAAGCUAUGGGGCCAGAAAAAUACGGACGAGCGCAUACAUAUGGGAUGGGAGUCAAACCACCUUGAGAUUUUUGGUGCAGUUCCUAGCCGAACAAAACUGAUGGUGCAAAAUGUCAUUUUGCGUGGAGAAGUAGAAGAUCUACACAAUAAGGAUGGUAUGGAGUGGAGUGGAUUUAUGAGAGAUCAAACCUCAAACUCAAAGUACAACCUGGACGUGGGAUGAUCUUGAAGGGUGGCUGCUUGAUCUGAAUUUGUUUAGUUCAAACCUCAAAACAAACAUUAUUCUUUUCUUUUACUAAUGAUUGGUUGAACAGGGAAAUUUGCAGUUCUUGCUGCAAGAUGAAUUCUUUAGAUUUUCUUCUCUUUCUAAGGCUUGUACUUAGUGACUGGUUCUUCCCAUGUUUGUUAUCAAGUUUUUUAUUUUGCA
This is an RNA transcript of Nymphaea colorata (pocket water lily), 1380 nucleotides long. RefSeq lists it as uncharacterized. The transcript has 6 exons. The record is from RefSeq and is a predicted model, not a curated record. Lineage: Eukaryota; Viridiplantae; Streptophyta; Magnoliopsida; Nymphaeales; Nymphaeaceae.